RNAcentral lists this ribosomal RNA (677 nucleotides) under uncultured Desulfobacterales bacterium. RNAcentral's name for it is "bacterial SSU rRNA". It matches the Rfam family "Bacterial small subunit ribosomal RNA", at positions 54 to 705 of the family's 1533-position model. The record is from RNAcentral. Lineage: Bacteria; Pseudomonadati; Thermodesulfobacteriota; Desulfobacteria; Desulfobacterales.
CAUGCAAGUCGAACGCGAACGUUUCCUUCGGGGAACUAGUAGAGUGGCGCACGGGUGAGUAACGCGUAAGUAAUCUACCCUCGCAUUCGGGAUAACCCACCGAAAGGUGUGCUAAUACCGGAUACGUCUCAUUUAAUAUCUUUUGAUGAGAGAAAGGUGGCCUCUUGAAUCAAAGCUACUGUGCGGGGAGGAGCUUGCGUACCAUUAGCUAGUUGGUAGGGUAACGGCCUACCAAGGCGAUGAUGGUUAGCGGGUCUGAGAGGAUGAUCCGCCACACUGGAACUGGAACACGGACCAGACUCCUACGGGAGGCAGCAGUGAGGAAUAUUGCGCAAUGGGGGCAACCCUGACGCAGCGACGCCGCGUGGAUGAUGAAGGCCUUCGGGUUGUAAAAUCCUGUCAGAUGGGAAGAAGUGUGUAUCACCCAAUACGUGAUACAUUUGACGGUACCAUCAAAGGAAGCACCGGCUAACUCCGUGCCAGCAGCCGCGGUAAUACGGAGGGUGCAAGCGUUGUUCGGAAUUACUGGGCGUAAAGCGCGCGUAGGCGGCUAGAUAAGUCAGAUGUGAAAGCCCGCGGCUCAACCGUGGAAGAGCAUUUGAAACUGUCUAGCUUGAGUACUGGAGGGGGUAGUGGAAUUCCCGGUGUAGAGGUGAAAUUCGUAGAUAUCGGGAGGA